ACUCCCAACUCCGGUUGAUCCUGCCGGACCCCACUGCUAUCGGGGUGGGACUAAGGCAUGCUAGUCUGCGCCCUCCGGCCAUGGGGAGGACGCGGCGGACAGCUCCGUA
Molecule: ribosomal RNA, 109 nt
Filed under: Candidatus Bathyarchaeota archaeon
Lineage: Archaea; Thermoproteati; Candidatus Bathyarchaeota
Description: partial 16S ribosomal RNA
Rfam family: Archaeal small subunit ribosomal RNA
Source: RNAcentral